Molecule: ribosomal RNA, 253 nt
Filed under: uncultured bacterium
Lineage: Bacteria
Description: partial 16S ribosomal RNA
Rfam family: Bacterial small subunit ribosomal RNA
Source: RNAcentral
UACGGGGGGAGCAAGCGUUGUUCGGAUUUACUGGGCGUAAAGGGCGCGUAGGCGGGCUGUCAAGUCUGGGGUGAAAUCCCGCGGCUCAACCGUGGAACUGCCUCAGAUACUGACGGCCUCGAGGGAGGUAGGGGCGAGCGGAACUGUGAGUGGAGCGGUGAAAUGCGUUGAUAUUCACAGGAACUCCGGUGGCGAAGGCGGCUCGCUGGACCUUUUCUGACGCUGAGGCGCGAAAGCUAGGGGAGCAAACGGG